UUUAAAUUUUUAUAAAUUACUUUUAUUAAAUAUCUAAUUAUAUAUGUAGAGAUUAAUAUUUAUCUAUAUUUGAAUUAAAAAAUAAUUAUUAAAUAUAUUCAUAAUAUUUUAUGAGAUAAAAUUUUAAUUGAAUUUGAUUAAAUAGAAUAAGCAUGAAUAUGUAACCAUGAGUUUUUAAAUGAGGAAUGAAAAUUUUAUUAGAUAAAAUAGAAU
Molecule: long non-coding RNA, 213 nt
Filed under: Ananas comosus (pineapple)
Lineage: Eukaryota; Viridiplantae; Streptophyta; Magnoliopsida; Poales; Bromeliaceae
Description: long non-coding RNA (ACOM_LNC002147)
Source: RNAcentral